Molecule: transfer-messenger RNA, 351 nt
Filed under: Lachnospiraceae
Lineage: Bacteria; Bacillati; Bacillota; Clostridia; Lachnospirales
Also listed under: 1 other name
Description: JAAYYM01 sp012515365 Standard tmRNA
Rfam family: transfer-messenger RNA
About the family: Bacterial tmRNA, also known as 10Sa RNA or SsrA, is named for its dual tRNA and mRNA-like properties. Its role is to liberate the mRNA from a stalled ribosome. To accomplish this part of the tmRNA is used as a reading frame that ends in a translation stop signal.
Source: RNAcentral
GGGCUUGUACCGGUUUCGACGGGGGUUUGGAAAUCAGAAUAGCCAUCUGCGGUUCGGUUCCGCAUUAAACAGCCGAAACUAAAAUUAAACGCAAACAAUAGAACAGCGUUAGCAGCAGCCUAGUCUGCGCUUGUCGGCUCUGAAUUACUCGCGAUUCGGAAUCCCGGCAUCAAACUUGCGAGGCACUUUGUUCCCAAAGCUUUGAGGGAAUAAAAGAACUUAUGAAGCUACUAAAGUGUAGAGCCUGUCAUUAGGCGUUACAUGGAGGGAAUGUCAAAUUAAUGACUGUGAUGGAAGAAGUUUUGAUGAAAGGGCUUUCGGACGCGGGUUCAACUCCCGCCAGGUCCACUU